AGAGUUUGAUCCUGGCUCAGGACGAACGCUGGCGGCGUGCCUAAUACAUGCAAGUCGAACGCACUCUCGUUUAGAUUGAAGGAGCUUGCUCCUGAUUGAUAAACAUUUGAGUGAGUGGCGGACGGGUGAGUAACACGUGGGUAACCUGCCCUAAAGUGGGGGACAACAUUUGGAAACAGAUGCUAAUACCGCAUAAAACCUAACACCGCAUGGUGUAGGGUUGAAAGAUGGUUUCGGCUAUCACUUUAGGAUGGACCCGCGGUGCAUUAGUUAGUUGGUGAGGUAAAGGCUCACCAAGACCGUGAUGCAUAGCCGACCUGAGAGGGUAAUCGGCCACACUGGGACUGAGACACGGCCCAGACUCCUACGGGAGGCAGCAGUAGGGAAUCUUCCACAAUGGACGAAAGUCUGAUGGAGCAACGCCGCGUGAGUGAAGAAGGUUUUCGGAUCGUAAAACUCUGUUGUUGGAGAAGAAUGUAUCUGAUAGUAACUGAUCAGGUAGUGACGGUAUCCAACCAGAAAGCCACGGCUAACUACGUGCCAGCAGCCGCGGUAAUACGUAGGUGGCAAGCGUUGUCCGGAUUUAUUGGGCGUAAAGCGAGCGCAGGCGGUUUCUUAAGUCUGAUGUGAAAGCCUUCGGCUCAACCGAAGAAGUGCAUCGGAAACUGGGAAACUUGAGUGCAGAAGAGGACAGUGGAACUCCAUGUGUAGCGGUGAAAUGCGUAGAUAUAUGGAAGAACACCAGUGGCGAAGGCGGCUGUCUGGUCUGUAACUGACGCUGAGGCUCGAAAGCAUGGGUAGCAAACAGGAUUAGAUACCCUGGUAGUCCAUGCCGUAAACGAUGAGUGCUAGGUGUUGGAAGGUUUCCGCCCUUCCAGUGCCGCAGCUAACGCAUAAGGCACUCCG
This 906-nucleotide ribosomal RNA is filed under the name uncultured bacterium. RNAcentral describes it as "bacterial SSU rRNA". It matches the Rfam family "Bacterial small subunit ribosomal RNA", at positions 8 to 871 of the family's 1533-position model. The record is from RNAcentral.